Camellia sinensis is the source of this 406-nucleotide non-coding RNA. Lineage: Eukaryota; Viridiplantae; Streptophyta; Magnoliopsida; Ericales; Theaceae. The record is from RefSeq and is a predicted model, not a curated record.
GAGAAAGAGAGGACCAAGAAAGAGAGGGAGAAAACCGUAAGAAGAACUAAGAAGAGAAGAAAAAGAAUUCAAGUUUUGCGCCGGAAUUGAAGGAAUAACUUAAGAGACUCAACAAAUUAAUGUUCUAGGGUCAACUACAAGGGUAAACCAGGCAUCUAAACACUGUGUAGGUGAGAAAUUGGAGGAUCAACCUUAGAGUUCGCCCAGGAGUUCGCCUCUUUGUCAAGCCACCCAAGAGUGCCUCUGUGUAGAGGCUUUGUUCUGUUCUGUUUUGUCAAGCUUGGGUUAAUAUUUGUAUUUUGUUAAAAGUCCUCCAUGUAGUGUGUGAGAUAUAAAAUAUGUCUUCGUACAUGUAUAUAUGUAAGUGCGUUAAGAAUGUUUUAAUUACUGCAGUUGAUCAUGUACG